This is a non-coding RNA of Monodelphis domestica (gray short-tailed opossum), 4730 nucleotides long. The record is from RefSeq and is a predicted model, not a curated record. NCBI's taxonomy places the organism in Eukaryota, Metazoa, Chordata, Mammalia, Didelphimorphia, Didelphidae.
UUGGCAACCAUGGAAUGGCCAGCUCCCUGAUGGUGAGGACAGGGGAGGGGCAAUGGAAGCCAAUGGCUACCAUUGUGGAGGGGAAAGAUGCCAGCCAAUGAGGUGAGGGCAGGGAGGAAGGAGAGUCAGCCAGGCAUCCGGAGAGGUCACUAAUCUCCCUCCAUGGCAGCAACAUGGGACCAGCCAUCCCUACCAAAUGCCAACCAACUGCCACCCACAGCGGAGCCCCCUGGAAAAAAGCAGGCUCCAGCCUGUGCCAGGCCAAGCCGUCCAUCCCCGCCAUCUCCCCACAGACUCUGGAGAGGGAUAAGCCGGGCCCCCGAUCCCGGAGUCUUGGGAAUGGCCCCACUCCCGGCCCCACUCUAUGGAAGCCCUCUAGGAGCCCGGAUGUACUCCGACAAGGGCUGAAGCCACAACUAAGGAGGGGCCAAGAAAGAAGCGUCCUUGGCCUUGAGAUGGUUCCACGUCUGAAACGGAGAGAACGUGAUGGAUGGAAACGAGCUUGAGGAAGUGGCCGAGCGUCUCCUUCACUGCUGCCUCCUAAGAUCUUGGGACCUUCCCACGGGACUUGUAGCAAAAACCUCUGCAUGCGUGUUGUCUGCCCUGUAAGAACGUGAACCCUCUCCGACCUUUUCAGCUGGAUGUGCUUUGCACAGAAAAAGCACUUAAUGUAUUAGUAUCAGAUCAUUGAUUAUUAACUAAUUAUAAUUUCUUAUUGUAUUAUAUAUGCUUCAUUCAUUCCUUCAGAUAUGAGUGUCUAUCAAUUUUUUUUUAAUAAACCCUGACCUUCCAUCUUAGGAUCACUACUGUGUGUUAGUUCCAAGGCUGAAGAGUGGUCAGGGCUAGGCAAUGAGGGUCAAGUGACUUGCCCAGGGUCACCCAGCUAGGAAGUGUCUGAGGCCAGAUUGGAACUCAGGACCUCCCAUGUCUGGGCCUAACUCUCCAUCCACUGAGCCACCCAGCUGCCCCCAAUCCACCCAUGUUUAAUUUCAGGACAUCUAACUUGUUGGGUGAACAAAUGAACUGAUAUCUAUCAGGUUUUAAGGUCCCUGAACUGCUUUCCUAAUAAUAAAACCCUAUGGGGAGGUUAAGGGAGAAGGAUUUCCCCCCGUUUUACACAUGAUAUAAAUAAGGCUUAUGAAAAUGAGCUGACUUAUUUGCCCAAGAUCCCACAGAGAGAGGAUUCAAACCGACUCCAUCAAGGAAGAGGAAUGAUGGAAGUUACUAGAAGAAAACAUACUCAAGGAAAUCGUCAGCCGAUUUAGAUUUUUUUUUCAAUGUCCAGAAAAUGAAGCAAAGCCAGAAAACAGAGGAUGGAUAUAAAAAUCAUGGCACACGGAAGGCCCUGAGUUCAAAUCUAGCCUCAGACACUUCCUAGCUGUGUGACCCUGGGCAAGUCACUUAACCCCGUUGCCCAGCCCUUAUUGCUCUUCUGCCUUAGAACUAAUACACAGCAUUGAUUCUAAGAUGGAAGAUCAGGGUUUUUAAAUAAAUAAUUAACAUUUUAAAAAUUAUGGCACAGUCCUAUAAAAAUUGUAUUGAGAAUGCUAAGUCUUAGAAUGAGCCAGAGCUGGUAAAGGAGACCAAUCGGGGACAACAAAAAGGAUUUCAUUUUUUUAAAGCUAUAAACAGGGAGGAGGGAUCAAAGAAGGGAAUCUGGAGGUGAUAUUCCCUGUGCUCGUUGGGCAACAGCUGUACUACAGGGCUCCAUUUUAGGGGACACAGUUUAAGAGAACCCAUUGAAAAGCUGAAGAAGGUCCAGAGGAAGAUCCAGAUGAUGGUGAAGGAAGGACCUUACAUCCAUAUUCUCUAAGGAGAGAUUGAUUGAAGAAGCUAGACAUGGUUAGCUGGAAAAGAAAAGCCAUAAAAGUGGUCGCCACAUAGCUGAAGGGUGGUCAGGUGGUAGAGGGCUUCAUCUUGUUCCAUUUGGCCCUAAAGGGAGGAACCAGGAACAGUGAGGGGAAGUUGGGUCAGAGGGAGCUACCGAAAGAGAGAGGUAAGCUUUGUUUGAGGAAAACACCCUAAUGAGAAGGAUUAUACAGUGAAUUUUAUAGGGGACAGAUUACGUAGUGAACGGGCUUCCAAAGAAGAAGUGGGACUAAAAGCACGAGGUGCUCAACAAGGGGAGUAACCACGUGUUGGACACGUCAAGAGAUUAUGGGCUGGACAGACUAGCUGGCUGCUGGCAUCCGUCCUGAUUGGAGCCCCAUUACCUAUCAGUGAUUAAUAGCCCCCAGUCCCCUUUAAGUAAUCAACAUCCAUUAUCUUUUUCAAAAGGAUAUCAACCUUCAAAAUCGAGCCAGCACAGAAGCACAAAUAUCUUUCUUCUAUCCCUGGGAGUGCUCUCGCUCCAUAAGAAUUCCAUCCCCAGGCAAAGUGGGCUCCGACGGUUUCUACAUAGUAUUUGCCCCACUCAUCAUAAUCUUGGCUACCAGCUCAGGGAAUGGUCUGGAAGAUCCUUCCUCAGGGAUGUAAGAUUUAAAUUAAAAUCGAUAACUCCAAGGAUUAUAUUUCAUAAGAUUUAUUAGUAAUCCCUUGAAGUAGAAUAAACAAAAGAACAAAAGUAUACAGCCUAAGUAAAACCACGUGAGUAAAAUUCUCCUGCCUGGCUCUAACCCAACCUCCAUAAUCGCCUUCCCAGGAACAGAGAGAGCAAGAGGCGGGGCUACACCAAAAUCUAUCCUCCCUAUGUUAGCAUGUGAUGUGAGAAGGAAAAUGGGAAGUUGGGAAAGAGAGUUCUGGGGAGAAAAUUCUAAUUACACAGAGACCUAAUGCUGGCCUGGCUGUCAUGGGUUCUAGACCUCACUCUCCCGACCUCAAGAGCUCAGAAGGUCUUGGUUACAUCCAAUCUCCACCUAAAAGCAGGAAAGAGUAUACCUAACAGAGAGGUAACAGCAGGUUCAUGCCAGCUCUUCAAGAAGGAAAAGGCAGAGAUCCCUCCUCUACCAGCUCAUCCUUCUCCAAUGCCAACAAGUCUAGAAAGAGCCUCCUCCUGGGGAAACUCAUUCUAACUAAAGAGAUGUUUUGAGUAUACACCAAUUCCAGCUUAUGGUCAGCCAAAUAGGCUCCUCUUCACCCCACGGGCAGUGAACCAGAACCAGUUACAAAACGUCUACACCAGCUUAAAAAUCUCUCCAUCAUUAUCCUCUUCUGGAAGCAGGCUCCCCAGGCUCUUCCACAUGGGUCAUUACAUCAGACCUCGUUCCUUUCAUAUAAAUGAUAUAAAUUCAAAAACCAAGCUCCCAGGGUUGUUGUAAUGAUGGUAAAAUUAGAUAAUACGUGUAAAGUGCUUGGUACAGGUGCCUGGCACAUAGUAGGCACUUGUUAUUGUAAGGCAGUUUCUCAGGGAAUCAAGAAAGUCAUUUCAUUUUACUAGUCUUGGAUUUUCUCUCAUAAAAUGAAUUUCCUUCUAUGUUUUCCAGGUCCUUUCCCCCUGUCCCAUCUACCCGCUAUACAGCUACCUAAAGGCAGUCAAGUCAUCAGGCAUUAAGGGUCCAAUAUGUACCAGGCAGUGUGCCAAGGAGAAGGCUCCAAAGAAAGGCAGAAUUGGCCAUCCUCCAGGAGUCUGAAUCUUAAAACCUGGAUGCUGCAAGUAAUCUCCCAAAAGCCUUUGCGGUAAGCCCAGGCACGGGACAGAAGGAUGGGGAAGAGAAGAAUUCGGGUGUCGGGAAAAGCUGCAAUGCCUCCGUUUCCAUUUCUGUUUAACUGGCAGGAAAAACUUGUGUAUAUGCGUACUGAAAAUCAUGGCCAUGGUAGAGAUACAGUGGAUUUCAUUUGUAAGUAAUCGAUCUGUUUCUUUAAAGGACAUAUGUUUUUGUACACAGAGACUGACACACUGUGGUACAAUCAAAGGUAAUGGACUUCUCUACUAGCAGCAAUGUAAUGAUCCGGAACAAUUCAGAAGGACUUAUGAGAAAGAACACCCUCCACAUUCAGAGGAAGAACCGAGGGAGUAGAAACCCAGAAGAAAAACAACUACUCGAUCACAUGUGUCAGUGGGGAUAUGAUUGGGGAUGGAGACUCUAAACAAUCACCCUGGUGCAAACAUCAAUAAUAUGGAAAUAGGUUUUGAUCAAGGACACAGCUACAGGAGGAGGUGGGGGGGUGGGGGGAGAGAACAUGAAUCUUGUAACCAUGGAAUAAUAUUCUAAAUUAACUAAUCAAAUAAAAUUCUCAAAAAAAUAUAAGAAAAACUCAUGAAAUAAUGUAAAAAAAUAGUAUUCUUCAAUCUUUAAAAAAUAAAUUAAUUAAAUUAAAUACAUAUGUUUAUAUAAACUGGAGGAAUGCCAUGUGAACUGGAAGGACAUCCAGUAAUUUAUGCAGAGCGAGAGGAGCAGAACCAGGAGAACACUGUACACAGAAACUGACACACUAUGGUACAAUUGAACGUAAUGGACUUCUCUACCAGCAACAAUGCAAUGAUCCAAAACAUUUCUGAAGGAUUUAUGAAAAAAAAAAAACACUAUCCCCAUUCAGAGGAAAAUCUGUGGGAGUAGAAACACAGAAGACAAACAAGUGCUUGGUCACAUGAUUUGAUGGGGAUAUGACUGGGGAUGCAGACUCUAAGCAAUCACCCCAAUGCAAAUAUCAAUAAUAUGGAAAUAGGUCUUGACCAAAGACACAUGUAAAACCAGAGGAAUUGUGCAUCAGAUAUGGGAGGGGGUUGAGGAGAGGGGAGGGAAAGAACAUGAUUUUUGUAAUCUUGUUCUAGAAAAAUGCUCUAAAUUAAU